GAUGAACGCUGGCGGCGUGCCUAAUACAUGCAAGUCGAGCGAACAGACGAGAGUGCUUGCACUCUCUGGCGUUAGCGGCGGACGGGUGAGUAACACGUGGGUAACCUACCUAUAAGACUGGGAUAACUUCGGGAAACCGGAGCUAAUACCGGAUAAUAUUUAGCUUCGCAUGAAGCAAUAGUGAAAGACGGUUCUGCUGUCACUUAUAGAUGGACCCGCGGUGUAUUAGCUAGUUGGUGAGGUAACGGAUCACCAAGGCAACGAUACAUAGCCGACCUGAGAGGGUGAUCGGCCACACGGGGACUGAGACACGGCCCAGACUCCUACGGGAGGCAGCAGUAGGGAAUCUUACGCAAUGGACGAAAGUCUGACGGAGCAAUGCCGCGUGAGUGAAGAAGGUUUUCGGAUCGUAAAACUCUGUUGUAAGGGAAGAACAAGUACGUUAGUAACUGAACGUACAUUGACGGUACCUUACCAGAAAGCCACGGCUAACUACGUG
RNAcentral lists this ribosomal RNA (499 nucleotides) under uncultured bacterium. RNAcentral describes it as "partial 16S ribosomal RNA". It matches the Rfam family "Bacterial small subunit ribosomal RNA", at positions 28 to 507 of the family's 1533-position model. The record is from RNAcentral.